This 253-nucleotide ribosomal RNA is filed under the name uncultured bacterium. Its description in RNAcentral is "partial 16S ribosomal RNA". It matches the Rfam family "Bacterial small subunit ribosomal RNA", at positions 524 to 776 of the family's 1533-position model. The record is from RNAcentral.
UACGUAGGGUGCAAGCGUUGUCCGGAAUUAUUGGGCGUAAAGAGCUCGUAGGCGGCUUGUCGCGUCGACUGUGAAAACCUGGGGCUUAACUCCGGGCCUGCAGUCGAUACGGGCAAGCUAGAGUUCGGUAGGGGAGACUGGAAUUCCUGGUGUAGCGGUGAAAUGCGCAGAUAUCAGGAGGAACACCGAUGGCGAAGGCAGGUCUCUGGGCCACUACUGACGCUGAGAAGCGAAAGCAUGGGGAGCGAACAGG